UCAAUGGGGGCAACCCUGAACGAGCAAUGCCGCGUGAGCGAAGAAGGUCUUCGGAUUGUAAAGCUCUGUUGCCGGGGAAAAGGAAGGAAAGAGGAAAUGCUUUUCUUUGGAUGGUACCCGGCCAGAAGGUCACGGCUAACUACGUGCC
This 148-nucleotide ribosomal RNA is filed under the name uncultured bacterium. Its description in RNAcentral is "partial 16S ribosomal RNA". It matches the Rfam family "Bacterial small subunit ribosomal RNA", at positions 368 to 509 of the family's 1533-position model. The record is from RNAcentral.